CUACUCUCUCAGGCUUCCACCCAUCGUAUCCGCUUCUGUAUAAAUACAAAUAACAUAUCUGAUACGUACAUGGACCAUAUAUCUCAAACGUAUCGCCGGAGCACCGCUCGAAUGUCCUCGUCGACGGAUCAUCUAUCCUCGAAAUCGAACCUGAUUGCCGUAAGCAUCGCCGAAGGAGAUACUGAUUUGAUCUCGAGUGUAUCGAACGGAAGAACAGCUCGUCGUGAUCUCCACGGUGAAUGAACAGGUUUCAUUUCGAUUUUGAUCUUGCGUCAUCAGCUUUAUCUGUCCAGCUGUUAACUGUUAAGGGAGUGUGUUUGGGAUUUGCUUAUUUAAUACAACUUAUGUUCUUUUUUUCUUUGUAAAAGUGCUUAUUAGCUUAUGUGUAUAAUUAUGUAGUUUAGAGCAAAAAAUGUUUGAAUCAACUUAUGCCAUAUCAAAACACAAACUUUGCCAUAUCAAAACACAGUAAAGUGAUAGGUUGUAUUUUAGUGUUUUGCAAAUUCUGCUUA
Long non-coding RNA from Lactuca sativa (garden lettuce), 512 nucleotides. RefSeq lists it as uncharacterized. The record is from RefSeq and is a predicted model, not a curated record. NCBI's taxonomy places the organism in Eukaryota, Viridiplantae, Streptophyta, Magnoliopsida, Asterales, Asteraceae.